Molecule: transfer RNA, 72 nt
Organism: Ovis aries (sheep)
Lineage: Eukaryota; Metazoa; Chordata; Mammalia; Artiodactyla; Bovidae
Rfam family: tRNA
About the family: Transfer RNA (tRNA) molecules are approximately 80 nucleotides in length. Their secondary structure includes four short double-helical elements and three loops (D, anti-codon, and T loops).
Source: Rfam
UCCUUUAUAGCUCAGUUGGUAAAGAAUCUGCCUGCAAGGCAGGAGACCCAGGUUUGAUUCUUGGAUCAGGAA